Molecule: ribosomal RNA, 253 nt
Filed under: uncultured bacterium
Lineage: Bacteria
Description: partial 16S ribosomal RNA
Rfam family: Bacterial small subunit ribosomal RNA
Source: RNAcentral
AACGUAGGAGACAAACGUUAUCUGGAGUUACUGGGCGUAAAGGGCGUGUAGGCGGUUAGUUAAGUCUGGCGUGAAAGCUCUCGGCUAAACCGGGAGAGGUCGUUGGAUACUGGCAAGCUUGAGGGCGGUAGAGGCGUGUGGAAUUCCGGGUGUAGUGGUGAAAUGCGUAGAGAUCCGGAGGAACACCAGUGGCGAAGGCGACACGCUGGGCCGUACCUGACGCUAAAGCGCGACAGCAUGGGGAGCAAACGGG